CUUUUCAAUUGAUAUAUUUUUAUUCUAUAUUUUUUUUUUGCAUUCAAUUUAAUUUUGAUUCUGAUUAAUUAUAUUUCUAUAUAUAAUUUUUUAUUCUCAAUUUUUAUUUUUGAUGUUUAAUUAUAAGUGAAUUGUUUGCACAAGUUUAUAUUUACAUACUGUUUUUUUGUCUUUCAGAGUGGAGAUCUUUAUGGAAAAUU
This 200-nucleotide long non-coding RNA is filed under the name Lathyrus oleraceus (garden pea). RNAcentral describes it as "Pisum sativum (pea) long non-coding RNA (PSAT_LNC009079)". Lineage: Eukaryota; Viridiplantae; Streptophyta; Magnoliopsida; Fabales; Fabaceae. The record is from RNAcentral.